UGAAUCUCUGAACUUGAGACGAUAUGGU
Molecule: small RNA, 28 nt
Filed under: Bombyx mori (domestic silkworm)
Lineage: Eukaryota; Metazoa; Arthropoda; Insecta; Lepidoptera; Bombycidae
Description: ovarian small RNA-31140
Source: RNAcentral